AUGGCCUGUUCUGAUAUUCGGGAUUUGUGCGAGGAAGGAUCUAACGUUAGCAGCUCGAGAAAUAAUUGGCAGAAAGCAAGUCAGAAGAAUCACUGUGAGAGAAAAACUACUGUUAUGGAAUUUGAAUCAGACUGGAUACAGUAUAGAAAAUCAUCUGCUUAUACUGCUCAGGUUAUUCGUUCUGCAACAUCUUUUAUGCCUUGGUCUUGUAGAAUCCCAAUCGGUGAAGGAUUUUAUGAAUUUCUUUAG
Molecule: non-coding RNA, 249 nt
Organism: Vicia faba (fava bean)
Lineage: Eukaryota; Viridiplantae; Streptophyta; Magnoliopsida; Fabales; Fabaceae
Source: the annotation of a GenBank genome assembly